This 88-nucleotide non-coding RNA is filed under the name Bacillus sp. (in: firmicutes). RNAcentral describes it as "Bacillus sp. Glycine sequence". It matches the Rfam family "Glycine riboswitch aptamer". Rfam says of the family: This family represents the bacterial glycine riboswitch. Glycine riboswitches usually consist of two metabolite-binding aptamers domains with similar structures in tandem. Lineage: Bacteria; Bacillati; Bacillota; Bacilli; Caryophanales; Bacillaceae. The record is from RNAcentral.
AUGAUAACAAGGGGAGAGACUACUUAUGUAGCGCCGAAGGAGCAAGCAGAAAUGUGAAUCUCUCAGGCAAAAGAACUCUUGUAGGACG